GUGAGGAAUUUUCCGCAAUGGGCGAAAGCCUGACGGAGCAAUGCCGCGUGAAGGAUGAAGGCCUAUGGGUUGUAAACUUCUUUUCUCAGAAAAGAAUUAUGACGGUAUCUGAGGAAUAAGCAUCGGCUAACUCUGUGCCAGCAGCCGCGGUAAGACAGAGGAUGCAAGCGUUAUCCGGAAUGAUUGGGCGUAAAGCGUCUGUAGGUUGUUUAAAAAGUAUUCUGUCAAAGAUUAGGGCUUAACCCUAGAUAGGCAGAAUAAACUUUUAAGCUAGAGUUUGGUAGAGGCAGAGGGAAUUCCCGGUGGAGCGGUGAAAUGCGUAGAUAUCGGGAGGAACACCAAAGGCGAAGGCACUCUGCUGGGCCUGUACUGACGCUCAUGCACGAAAGCGUGGGGAGCAAACAGGAUUAGAAACCCUUGUAGUCC
RNAcentral lists this ribosomal RNA (426 nucleotides) under uncultured bacterium. Its description in RNAcentral is "bacterial SSU rRNA". It matches the Rfam family "Bacterial small subunit ribosomal RNA", at positions 354 to 796 of the family's 1533-position model. The record is from RNAcentral.